Myotis myotis is the source of this 1920-nucleotide RNA transcript. It is a transcript of the gene named solute carrier family 25 member 48, with no coding region annotated. NCBI's taxonomy places the organism in Eukaryota, Metazoa, Chordata, Mammalia, Chiroptera, Vespertilionidae. The record is from RefSeq and is a predicted model, not a curated record. The transcript is spliced from 8 exons.
CCUCCUCUUCCUCCGAGCGCCCCUCCCGCGGGCCACGCCCCUCACACAUUGAAUGGGCACCGACCCGGCCCAGGCGGUCGCAUUGCCGCGGCCCCGGCCAUGGGCAGCUUCCAGCUGGAAGACUUUGCGGCGGGCUGGAUCGGAGGUGCAGCCAGUGUCAUUGUUGGCUACCCUCUGGACACGGUCAAGACUCGCCUGCAGGCCGGCGUGGGCUAUGGGAACACGCUCAGCUGCAUCCGCAUGGUGUACAGGAAGGAGAGUGUGUUCGGCUUCUUCAAGGGCAUGUCCUUCCCCCUGGCCAGCAUCGCCGUGUACAACUCGGUGGUGUUUGGGGUCUUCAGUAACACGCAGAGGUUCCUCAGCCAGCUCCACAGCAGGGAGCCUGAGGCCAGCCCGCCCCACACCCUGUCAGACCUGCUCCUGGCCAGCAUGGUGGCCGGCGUGGUGUCCGUCGGACUGGGCACGCCUGUGGACCUCAUCAAGAUCCGCCUGCAGAUGCAAACACAGGCAUUUCGGGAAACCAGCCUCAGUUUGAAGAACAGGGCAGUGGCUCUCGGGGAGCAGCCAGCCUACCAGGGGCCUGUGCAUUGCAUUGCAACCAUCGUGCGGACUGAGGGCCUGGCGGGGCUAUACCGGGGUGCCGGUGCCAUGAUGCUGAGGGACGUCCCGGGCUAUUGCCUCUACUUUGUUCCGUAUGUGUUCCUGACCAACUGGUUCACACCUGAAGCCUGUGCAGACCCCAGCCCCUAUGCUGUAUGGCUGGCAGGUGGCGUGGCAGGAGCAAUUUCUUGGGGGACAGCGACUCCUAUGGAUGUUGUGAAAAGUCGACUCCAGGCUGAUGGGGUUUAUAUAAACAAAUACAAAGGUGUCCUGGACUGUAUCUCCCAGAGUUACCAGAAGGACGGUCUUAAAGGCCAGGGCUGGUGUCAUGGACCAGGGCCUCAUUCCCUGCAGGGCGAGGCCUCUCCAGAACCUGCUCACCUCCGAACCCCUUCUUUCGGAUUGCAAGCACUCUGCUCCCCCUCUCCCAGCUGGACCAUUGAUAAACCGCCACCUAUUUUUUAUCUGCACUGGCACCUGGCAAAAAGUGGGGCGAAAUAGACCUGUUUCCCACGACUGCUGUAAACUCACUGGGAAUUCACAGAGGAGCUGGAGUUGUCUCUAAGUUUCCAAAUAAAAACAAUGAAAACUUCUUCAGGUCAUUUCUGUAUCGGAUGCUUCUGCCUGGCUUCCAAGAGACACAGGCCACCCUCACUCUUCCCUCUGUUAGACCCCUGUAGAUGUCACCAGAGAAGAGGCCAUUCCAUGCAGCCCGGUUUCCAGAAUGAUGUCAUGAUUCUACAUUGUGUUUCUCACUCGAGCCAUGUGGGGAGGCCCUUGCUCGUGUCCGUGAUGUCACUCCCACUCUUCGUGCCGACAACAGGCGUCGUUAAUCAGGCAGGGAGCCCCUCCUGUGGAGCCGGAUGCAGCGUCAGAGUCCUCCUCAGCACAGUGCCCUGAGCAGCCACCACCAGCCGGUCCACAGUGACAGACAAAGGAAUCUAGUUGCCAUUCCUGGCUUAAAACCUGGUGGUGAAAAUAUCCUUAGAUUUCUUUUCUCCCUCCCCGCCCCCUGUGAUUUCCUGCCCCCUUCCACGGCCCUUGAGUGACUCAGAGCAUGUUUCUGGAAAUUCCCUGCCCUACCAGACCCAGCACCAAGGCACAGCGCUGCUCAAGGCAUAAAGAAGUUGAACGUGUUCAGCCUCAUUGUUUAUCCUGAUGCUUUAGCAGAGGGUUCCCUCCUUGAAAUAAACCCUUAGUGUGCCCUCCUUGGUCUUCCUGCUUCACAGCCCCUGGCGAUGGCGGGUCCCUCGGGCCGAUCUGCGGGCUGCAGUCCAACACACCCCCUCCACCCGUCAUCAAGCAUUUGUUGACCACCUA